RNAcentral lists this small RNA (540 nucleotides) under Pongo abelii (Sumatran orangutan). RNAcentral describes it as "retained intron". Lineage: Eukaryota; Metazoa; Chordata; Mammalia; Primates; Hominidae. The record is from RNAcentral.
UGUUUGCAGAUUAUGAGGUGUUUGUCAUCCAACCCAGCCAGGAUAAGGAAUCCUGGUUUACCAACAGGGAGCAAAUGCAAAACUUUGAUAAAGCAUCUUUUCUGUCAGAUCAGCCUGAGCCCUACCUGCCCUUCCUUUCAAGAUUCCUGGAGACCCAGAUGUUUGCAUCUUUCAUUGACAACAAAAUAAUGUGUCAUGAUGAUGAUGAUAAAGACCCUGUGCUCCGGGUAUUUGAUUCCCGAAUUGACAAGAUCAGGCUGUUGAAUGUUCGGACACCCACUCUCCGUACAUCCAUGUACCAGAAGUGUACCACUGUGGAUGAAGCAGGUAAGGCCUCCUUGGAACUGUACAUUCUAGCCUCUUGGAUUAUGUCAUUAACAUGUCCCUUUUCCUAAAUAUGCCAGCCUCUUUAUCUGUUUCUGCCUUUGUGUAUGUGGUUCCCAUUGCCUGCAGUCUUCUUCCUUGUUUUUUUUUUUUUUUUCUUUUUUUGCCUGGUUAUCUUCUCAUCCUUUAACACUGUUAGUUAGGAAUGGAUCUCAC